Molecule: long non-coding RNA, 1579 nt
Organism: Oncorhynchus tshawytscha (Chinook salmon)
Lineage: Eukaryota; Metazoa; Chordata; Actinopteri; Salmoniformes; Salmonidae
Source: Ensembl
UGUUCUCACUAUCUUUACUUGUUGUUCAUGUUGCCCCUGACAGCUUACAGCCACAACAAAACAGUUAUUUAUUUAACUGACUGUAAUAUAUAUUUAGUUAUCUGAAAUCAGUUACAAACCACAAAUAACUACUAAUGAACCCUAUCUGAACCCUCUGAGUUAAGCACCUCGUGUCAUACAGCACCAUCUAUUUUAACUUGUGGUCCGGGGGGGAGGGGCCAUUUUGUGAUGUCAUGCGAGAACUUUCAGUACAUUCUCAAACAGGCAUAUCUUGUGAAGCACAAAGUCAACUGCAGGUUCCUCUGUCAGAAUGAGACCAAAAAAGUAGGAUCCUCCUUCUGAUAGAUUGCUUCCUUUUAGAACCACACUAACCACAGAGUAAAACAGACUAGAUACAGUGUGUCACAUUAGCUGAGUGGCUGUGGUAUCCAAUCAGGCAUGCACGCUCAUGUGCUACACUAAGUGAAUGUUUCUGUGAAUAAUAUACAAGGAAUGGAGGACUGACAUGUACUUGUUUCAUUGUGUAGGUGUUUACACUUCUCAUGUUCACUCUUGUACAUACACUAUAUCUACAAAAGUAUGUGGACAGUAUGGUGGAACAACUGCAAGAUUAUGUUAUAAUACUUUAUUGCAUCAAAUGGUUGUGUUAUGAAUAGACUAUUCUGUUAACUAUUGUGUGUGUCACGAAUCCCGUUUCCUGAGUCUGUUUUUUGCCUGUGUUCUGUCCUGGAGUUGUUUUUUCCGGCGUCCUGGAACGCACCCUGUCUGGUUGCCGGGCAAUGUAGCCAGUUGGGAGUUCUGAUUACCCGCACCUGUAUCCCAUCAGCUAUCUGCACACCUGGUCCUGAUCAUCAUCUCUCCUCUUCAUAAGCCCGGACCUGACAUCCAUUCCCUGCCGGAUCGUUAGCCAUGAACAGUAUGUUGUGCCAUAGUAUCAGCCUCAAGUUGGAUAGAAUUUGUUUUGUUGUUUUUUACGUAUUGCUUGCCUUAAACUUACCUCCGUUUGUUCUGUCUUCAGUUACUCACCCGGAUCAUUUACCCCAUUCCCGCCUGGUCGUCGGAGGAUACCGCUUCCCCAUUGGAUCCACCUAUUUACUCCCAUCAACUCACCACCGCUGCCCGCUACGCCACCUGGAUAUAUCUACCCAUUCACAUUCACUUGUAAAUAAAUACUCACCUUCUUCCUACUCUCUUUGUCCUGGUCUGCUUCUGGGUUCGAUUUUGAAGAAACGUGACCGUGUGUUCUACUGAGGAUGGGCUUCUGGGAGAUAACACUGACAGGAGAUUUAUGAUGUCUUUUGGGUGAUAAAACCUAAAGAUCAUUCCAGAGCAUGAGUUAAUGUUUCUGUUCUUUACCGUACCAGGGAGAGAUGGUUCCAGUUUGGAGUCAGAGGGCCAGACACUGGUCUCUACACAAUAAACUGUUGACACAAAUCUUAACCUUUUUACCCAUUCUAUAUAUCUAUUGUUCGUCAUGUAGGUUGAAAAAGGUGUAUCUUGGCUAUAAAAUACUUUUGUCUCUGGGCUCUCAACGAAUCAUUUGAUCGUGAAUCGUCGACCUGUCAUGACCAGCCAUCAU